This 253-nucleotide ribosomal RNA is filed under the name uncultured bacterium. Its description in RNAcentral is "partial 16S ribosomal RNA". It matches the Rfam family "Bacterial small subunit ribosomal RNA", at positions 524 to 776 of the family's 1533-position model. The record is from RNAcentral.
CACGUAGGGCGCAAGCGUUGUCCGGAAUUAUUGGGCGUAAAGAGCUCGUAGGCGGUCUGUUGCGUCCGCUGUGAAAACUCGGGGCUUAACCCCGAGCCUGCGGUGGAUACGGGCAGACUAGAGGUAGGUAGGGGAGAAUGGAAUUCCCGGUGUAGCGGUGAAAUGCGCAGAUAUCGGGAGGAACACCGGUGGCGAAGGCGGGUCUCUGGGCCGAUACUGACGCUGAGGAGCGAAAGCGUGGGGAGCGAACAGG